UUUCCGUAGGUGAACCUGCGGAAGGAUCAUUAAAGAAUCGCCCCGCUUCUUAUAAAUGGGUACUCUUUCCAAACCGUGUAUACAUACCUUUGUUGCUUUGGCAGGCCGCCUCCGGGCGUCGGCUCCGGCUGAUAGUGCCUGCCAGAGGACCCAAACUCUGUGUUUAGUGAUGUCUGAGUACUAUAUAAUGGUUAAAACUUUCAACAACGGAUCUCUUGGUUCUG
This 224-nucleotide unclassified non-coding RNA is filed under the name plant metagenome. Its description in RNAcentral is "partial contains small subunit ribosomal RNA, internal transcribed spacer 1, and 5.8S ribosomal RNA". The record is from RNAcentral.